CCUAGUAACGGCGAGUGAAGCGGGAUGAGCUCAAAUUUGAAAGCUGGCAGCAAUGUCCGCGUAGUAAUCUCGAGAGUAGUGUUCCGCGCUGGACCACAUACRAGUUCCUUGCAWUAGGAUGUCAUAGAGGGUGAGAAUCCCGUACUUGAUGUGGACGCCCAGUGCUUUGUGAUACAUCUUCGAAGAGUCGAGUUGUUUGGGAAUGCAGCUCAAAAUGGGUGGUAAAUUCCAUCUAAAGCUAAAUAUUGGGGAGAGACCGAUAGCGAACAAGUACCGUGAGGGAAAGAUGAAAAGCACUUUGGAGAGAGAGUUAGACAGUACGUGAAAUUGUCAGAAGGGAAGCAUUUGAAGUCAGACGUGUACUGCAGUAUUCAGCCUUUGCUUUUGCUUGGUGUAUUUGCCGUUGCACAGGCCAACAUCAGUUUUGAGUGACGGAUAAGGGUAUGGGGAAUGUGGCACCCUCGGGUGUGUUAUAGCCCUAUACUGGAUACGUCGUUUGGGACUGACGAACGCAGCGCGCCGUAAGGCAGACCUUCGGGUACUUUCGCGUCUUAGGU
Molecule: ribosomal RNA, 557 nt
Filed under: Exobasidium sundstroemii
Lineage: Eukaryota; Fungi; Basidiomycota; Exobasidiomycetes; Exobasidiales; Exobasidiaceae
Description: LSU rRNA
Rfam family: Eukaryotic large subunit ribosomal RNA
Source: RNAcentral